AUUGAACGCUGGCGGCAGGCUUAACACAUGCAAGUCGAGCGGGGAAAGGUAGCUUGCUACCUGACCUAGCGGCGGACGGGUGAGUAAUGCUUAGGAAUCUGCCUAUUAGUGGGGGACAACAUCUCGAAAGGGAUGCUAAUACCGCAUACGUCCUACGGGGGAAAGCAGGGGACCUUCGGGCCUUGCGCUAAUAGAUGAGCCUAAGUCGGAUUAGCUAGUUGGUGGGGUAAAGGCCUACCAAGGCGACGAUCUGUAGCGGGUCUGAGAGGAUGAUCCGCCACACUGGGACUGAGACACGGCCCAGACUCCUACGGGAGGCAGCAGUGGGGAAUAUUGGACAAUGGGGGGAACCCUGAUCCAGCCAUGCCGCGUGUGUGAAGAAGGCCUUUUGGUUGUAAAGCACUUUAAGCGAGGAGGAGGCUACCGAGAUUAAUACUCUUGGAUAGUGGACGUUACUCGCAGAAUAAGCACCGGCUAACUCUGUG
This 485-nucleotide ribosomal RNA is filed under the name uncultured bacterium. RNAcentral describes it as "partial 16S ribosomal RNA". It matches the Rfam family "Bacterial small subunit ribosomal RNA", at positions 30 to 507 of the family's 1533-position model. The record is from RNAcentral.